This 440-nucleotide ribosomal RNA is filed under the name uncultured bacterium. Its description in RNAcentral is "partial 16S ribosomal RNA". It matches the Rfam family "Bacterial small subunit ribosomal RNA", at positions 338 to 795 of the family's 1533-position model. The record is from RNAcentral.
CCUACGGGAUGCAGCAGUGGGGAAUAUUGCACAAUGGGGGAAACCCUGAUGCAGCGACGCCGCGUGAGUGAAGAAGUAAUUCGUUACGUAAAGCUCUAUCAGCAGGGAAGAAAAUGACGGUACCUGAGUACGAAUCCCCGGCUAACUACGUGCCAGCAGCCGCGGUAAUACGUAGUGGGCAAGCGUUAUCCGGAUUUACUGGGUGUAAAGGGAGCGUAGACGGUGCGCCAAGUCUGGAGUGAAAUGCCGCAGCUUAACUGCGGAACUGCUUUGGACACUGGCGAACUAGAGUGCGGGAGGGGUAAGCGGAAUUCCUAGUGUAGCGGUGAAAUGCGGAGAUAUUAGGAGGAACACCGGUGGCGAAGGCGGCUGACUGGACCGUAACUGACGUUGAGGCUCGAAAGCGUGGGGAGCAAACAGGAUUAGAUACCCGAGUAGUC